AUGUCUCUCAGCAUCAGUUUCCCCAUCUAUAAAAUGCUGAUAAUAGUAGCACCAACCUCCCAAGGUUAUCAUGAGGAUCAAGUGAGAAAACAUUUAUCCCAUUAUUCUAGCUCCAGAUCUAAGCCAGGACAAGAAAAGAAGGGGCUUGAGCAGCCCCUGAAAAGGCUCGGAGUGGAGGGGAUUCACUCCAGCUCUCUGUGGCAGAUAAAAACCAAGAGACUCAGCUUUCUGGGAAUGGCAGGUACCUGGUUACUGAAGUUCAUUUUGUCCUUAGAUGUCUACUCCUCCUUUGUUGAUCUUGCUAUGGGCUUUGGCUUUCGUUUGUAUAACUUCCUCCAAGGGUGACCAACUCUACCUCAUCCCAUUGACAUUGCCCAUGGAGUUUUCUUGGUGAAGAUACUGGAGUGGAUUGCCAUUUCCUUUUCCAGUGUGUCUGAUUUUACAGAUAAGGAACUGAGGCAAAUAGGGAUUGACUUGCCCAGAUUCACAUGACUAGUAAGUCUCUGAAUCCAGAUUUGAACUCAGUUCUUCCUGACUCCAGACCUAGGAUCAUUACCCUUAAUACAAUAUAUCCCCCUGCCCCUGAGUAAUGAAAAUAGACUUCUCCCAAAGUCCAAGAGGAUAGCACUGUCUUGACACCACCCAAGAAUCUUCAAAGAUCAUAGCUGCAUCACAUGCAUAGAAAGAUGGCAGAACAGAAGCAAAAGGAAGUGAAAUUGCUUGUCUGUGGCUAAUGAGCAGAAAUGAAUGUUGGUAUAUAACUCCAAAUGUUCAACAUCUGGGUU
RNAcentral lists this long non-coding RNA (785 nucleotides) under Monodelphis domestica (gray short-tailed opossum). Its description in RNAcentral is "lncRNA (ENSMODG00000030925.2)". Lineage: Eukaryota; Metazoa; Chordata; Mammalia; Didelphimorphia; Didelphidae. The record is from RNAcentral.